CCAGAGGGCGUCGUUGGCGCAACGGGAUCUCUGACACGAAUGAAGAGGAUAGUAUCGUACAAAUCUGUGCGUCGUUGAAAGAAUGUAGGAAUCUGCGCUCUGACUUCGUCCACGACUUUCAAAUCUGUAAAAGAAACAUUAAGAAAAUUAAGUAUCCCAGAAAUCGAGCACCCAAUAUUGUUUAAUCACUAUUUAGCUUAAUUGCAUAUUUGGAAUUGCUCUCGUUAUCAAAGGAUUAAGGCAAUUACCUAUAUCAGCGACUACCAUGCUCUCUUGAGUUUCCAGAUCGUGAAGAACCUCCCCCCAAGGGUUGGUUAAUUGCGUAUGGCCAUAUGCGACGUAACCAGCUGAAGGUACACGAGCCGGUGAUAUACAAGCGACGUAUAAUUGAUUGUCAUUUGAUCUGGAACGCUGAAGCAACGACCAGUGCAUUGGUCCAGUGGUCAUAUUGAAUGCCGCUGGAUAUAUUAGCAUCUGGCAACCUGACCCAGAGAGACAGGAAAUAUGAUGGAAUUCGAAUAUCAAUUAUAAGUCCCUUCACUUCGAACAUCGUUAACGAAUUACCAGCACUGAGUGAAUCACUUUCACGAAACGUAAUUUUGUUAGGAAUGUCAAUAUCAAAUAAAUGCACCUAUCGUAAUAAAAGAAGUGGUUAUAAUAGUAUGUUGAGGUCAUUACAGAUUAAAAGGAAACUUUACUUUUCUGUGCUUCGUUAUCAAAGUUCCAUUAGGUCCCCAUAUAGUACAGCUUCCGACAAUGCGACACUUGUUUCGCCAUCAGGAAUGCUUUCAGCAUACUUUGGAAAGUGUUCUGUAUAAAUGUAUGUAUAUUUAAAUAUGACUUAAAUUCUUUAUUAAACGCAAAAAUGAUUAUUAUUUUUCACUUGCGAAUAAGUUAACUUAUAGAUUGCAAAGCGAUAGAAAUGGAAACAUAAAAUUGAAUUAUCAUUAUUGUGCUUUCAAAUCUGAGUAAUUUGAAUUUUCAAAGCACAACUUCCGGCGCGUUCGAUGACUUCAGUAGUAUUAUUUGAAGCGCGAACAAGAUAAGUAAUUUACUGUGGAAGUAAAGUUUUAAUUGUUAAAUUAUUAAUAAAUAGCGAGUUAUGCUUGUUUCAUUAUCAUGUUUUGUAUAUAAUAAAAAGCCCUUUUUUUAGAGAA
This is a long non-coding RNA of Osmia lignaria (orchard mason bee), 1157 nucleotides long. RefSeq lists it as uncharacterized. The record is from RefSeq and is a predicted model, not a curated record. Lineage: Eukaryota; Metazoa; Arthropoda; Insecta; Hymenoptera; Megachilidae.